This is a non-coding RNA of Acanthosepion pharaonis, 101 nucleotides long. The record is from the annotation of a GenBank genome assembly. NCBI's taxonomy places the organism in Eukaryota, Metazoa, Mollusca, Cephalopoda, Sepiida, Sepiidae.
CAGCCAUAUCACGCUGAAACACCGGUUCUCGUACGAUCACUGAAGUUAAGCAACGUCCAGUCUGGUCAGUACCUAGAUAAGUGGCCAUUUGGGAACACUAG